This 24-nucleotide non-coding RNA is filed under the name Arabidopsis thaliana (thale cress). Lineage: Eukaryota; Viridiplantae; Streptophyta; Magnoliopsida; Brassicales; Brassicaceae. The record is from RNAcentral.
UGAAUAACUUAUGGCACAACUACG